This 45-nucleotide non-coding RNA is filed under the name Trichobilharzia regenti. The record is from RNAcentral. Lineage: Eukaryota; Metazoa; Platyhelminthes; Trematoda; Strigeidida; Schistosomatidae.
AUCGAGAUGAUGAGUUGUAAAUAAGACGAAAUGCUCAUCUUCGAU